RNAcentral lists this transfer RNA (77 nucleotides) under Acidobacteriota bacterium. RNAcentral describes it as "tRNA-Pro". It matches the Rfam family "tRNA". From Rfam's summary of the family: Transfer RNA (tRNA) molecules are approximately 80 nucleotides in length. Their secondary structure includes four short double-helical elements and three loops (D, anti-codon, and T loops). RNAcentral also lists the same sequence under 3 other names. The record is from RNAcentral. Lineage: Bacteria; Pseudomonadati; Acidobacteriota.
CGGGGCGUAGCGCAGCCUGGUAGCGCGCCUGCCUUGGGCGCAGGAGGCCCCCGGUUCGAAUCCGGGCGCCCCGACCA